This is a non-coding RNA of Xyrauchen texanus (razorback sucker), 731 nucleotides long. Lineage: Eukaryota; Metazoa; Chordata; Actinopteri; Cypriniformes; Catostomidae. The record is from the annotation of a RefSeq genome assembly.
AAUGUCCCGCCCCUCUGAUUAAAGCACAAUAUCAGACUGUCUGUUAGUCAGGACUGUCAAACCAACAUCACUGUUCCUUCAGUUCUCACUCAUUCACAGUAAAGAUGACAGCACACGCUCUCAUUAUCUGCUCUCUACUGCUUUUCAUUGCUGAGUGUAAUGGACAGAUCACGGUCACUCAGAGUCCCUCAAUAACAGCUCAACCAGGACAACAAGUUCAAAUAAACUGUAAAACCAGCAGUGGAGUGUAUAAUGGUAAUCGUUUAGCCUGGUACUUACAGAAACCUGGAGAAGCUCCUAAACUCCUCAUAUAUGCUGCAACAAACCGCAACACUGGAACUCCAUCUAGAUUCAGUGGCAGUGGAUCUAAUAGUGAUUUCACUCUGACCAUCAGUGGAGUCCAGACUGAAGAUGCAGGACAUUAUUACUGUCAGAGUUUUCACGUCAUCAACAGUAAAUAUGUGUUCACACAGUGAUAAAGAGUCGUACAAAAACCUCCUUCAGUGAAAGAGGAACUACUGAUACAGAAACAGUUUCUCUGAAUGUUUCAUUAUAAAUUGACAUGGACACAAAGUUUUAGAUUUUGAUAUUUCACACUCAACACUACAUAUGAAACUGGACGACACAUUUUAUUAUAAAGGUCAAUUCAGUCAUUUUUGGUUGAUGUUUUACUGGCUGAUAUGACACUAGUCUUAAACUUUACUGACACCUAUCCAUGUGAAUACAGCAUC